This 635-nucleotide ribosomal RNA is filed under the name Clostridioides difficile. RNAcentral's name for it is "bacterial SSU rRNA". It matches the Rfam family "Bacterial small subunit ribosomal RNA", at positions 62 to 725 of the family's 1533-position model. Lineage: Bacteria; Bacillati; Bacillota; Clostridia; Peptostreptococcales; Peptostreptococcaceae. The record is from RNAcentral.
UUGAGCGAUUUACUUCGGUAAAGAGCGGCGGACGGGUGAGUAACGCGUGGGUAACCUACCCUGUACACACGGAUAACAUACCGAAAGGUAUGCUAAUACGGGAUAAUAUAUUUGAGAGGCAUCUCUUGAAUAUCAAAGGUGAGCCAGUACAGGAUGGACCCGCGUCUGAUUAGCUAGUUGGUAAGGUAACGGCUUACCAAGGCGACGAUCAGUAGCCGACCUGAGAGGGUGAUCGGCCACAUUGGAACUGAGACACGGUCCAAACUCCUACGGGAGGCAGCAGUGGGGAAUAUUGCACAAUGGGCGAAAGCCUGAUGCAGCAACGCCGCGUGAGUGAUGAAGGCCUUCGGGUCGUAAAACUCUGUCCUCAAGGAAGAUAAUGACGGUACUUGAGGAGGAAGCCCCGGCUAACUACGUGCCAGCAGCCGCGGUAAUACGUAGGGGGCUAGCGUUAUCCGGAUUUACUGGGCGUAAAGGGUGCGUAGGCGGUCUUUCAAGUCAGGAGUGAAAGGCUACGGCUCAACCGUAGUAAGCUCUUGAAACUGGGAGACUUGAGUGCAGGAGAGGAGAGUGGAAUUCCUAGUGUAGCGGUGAAAUGCGUAGAUAUUAGGAGGAACACCAGUUGCGAAGGCGGC